Molecule: long non-coding RNA, 324 nt
Filed under: Nicotiana benthamiana
Lineage: Eukaryota; Viridiplantae; Streptophyta; Magnoliopsida; Solanales; Solanaceae
Description: long non-coding RNA (NBEN_LNC010797)
Source: RNAcentral
AAAAAUAUAGAUAAAGAUGAAUUAAGAGAUGGUAUAAGGGAUACUCACUAGAAAAUACAAGUAUGAACAAGUUUGAUGAUGUUGUCUCUAAUGAAAAGUUGUGGAAGAAGUUGGUGGAAGAGUCUGGUGCCAAGGUUAUGGAAGAAUUAUGUCAAAAGUCUAUGAAGUCUGAUGAAAAAAGAAAGAAUAUACGCAAGUCUAUUAAAAGAAAAGCCUAUACUGAUGAGAACCUGGUUGCUCGAAGAAGGCAAAAGUUGAUGAUCCCUAUAGUGCGAAAGAAAAAUUGAGGAAUCAAAAAGUGCUAUGGGGCCGCACAUUUGCUGC